Plutella xylostella (diamondback moth) is the source of this 960-nucleotide non-coding RNA. The record is from RefSeq and is a predicted model, not a curated record. Lineage: Eukaryota; Metazoa; Arthropoda; Insecta; Lepidoptera; Plutellidae.
ACGGGGCGCGAUUCACAUCUCAACCGAAAUAUUUGUAAAGCGAUACGAACGAGUUACGAGAUGAAAUCCGCAAUGUUUAAAAACGCGAUUCAUAGCACACAUACUUUGAUCUCGUUUUCAUAUCGCUAGUUCGUAUUUGGAUGGCUUGAGUGAAAUGAAUGAAACUAUAUUUUUUUUAAUUGCCAUGCAAAAAUUAUAAAUACUACCACUAAUUGUUUUAAAUAAUUUUGUUCCUACAAUAUAUUUUGUUGGAAUUAGUGUCGAUAGCAAGUAUCAAGAAUCAGCUUUUUAAUUCAACGUUGAAGAAAUUCAUAACCUGUGGCACUUUUGACAGCCGCCAUGUUUUCUCCAUAAAAACAUUGAUUUUCUUUGCUCAUUUUCGUGUCAACGUAGUUUUUUUGGAAAAUAAGAAAAAAGGAAGUUUAACUUACUUAGAGAAAUACGACUGAGACAUGUAAGUAUCAAUGUAUUAACCUAUUUUUUUUGAAAUAUAAAUGUUACCGGUUGUAGUCAAGAAGGUAUUGUAAUUUACGAUGUAUCCAAUUUCUGUUUUGAAUUGUUUUAGAAACACAAGCAGCAGCCGAUGUGCUUGAGUUGCAGAAGGAGCAACUGCGUUGUGAGAGGGCCACGGCUUCAGCCCUCACAAUGAUAGCUGAUUAGCUGAAGUAAUGAACAGACAGGCUGCAGUCAAUGAGAGGCUUCUUGAGGAGGGGUUCCUCAUAUGGAAAAAGAUUUUAGCGGCGACGCAGUUGCGCGACCAGUGAAGCUCUGGCUCCGCGACCGGCGUGGAGCGCGCGGUCAGCGCGGCGCUGCUGCGGCUGCUGCGCGGGAGGAUCCCGUCCCUGCGCAUGCGCCUGGCCUUCAAUGACCUCACGCCUCUCUUCUUCCUCUUCUUCAUGCGUCAAUUCAAACAGAGGAGCACCUGUGAUUACUGAUUACCUAAGUUCCUAUAUACAAUAA